UAUUAUGAGAGUUUGAUCCUGGCUCAGGACGAACGCUGGCGGCGUGCCUAAUACAUGCAAGUCGAACGCUUCUUUCCUCCCGAGUGCUUGCACUCAAUUGGAAAGAGGAGUGGCGGACGGGUGAGUAACACGUGGGUAACCUACCCAUCAGAGGGGGAUAACACUUGGAAACAGGUGCUAAUACCGCAUAACAGUUUAUGCCGCAUGGCAUAAGAGUGAAAGGCGCUUUCGGGUGUCGCUGAUGGAUGGACCCGCGGUGCAUUAGCUAGUUGGUGAGGUAACGGCUCACCAAGGCCACGAUGCAUAGCCGACCUGAGAGGGUGAUCGGCCACACUGGGACUGAGACACGGCCCAGACUCCUACGGGAGGCAGCAGUAGGGAAUCUUCGGCAAUGGACGAAAGUCUGACCGAGCAACGCCGCGUGAGUGAAGAAGGUUUUCGGAUCGUAAAACUCUGUUGUUAGAGAAGAACAAGGACGUUAGUAACUGAACGUCCCCUGACGGUAUCUAA
This 510-nucleotide ribosomal RNA is filed under the name Staphylococcus aureus. RNAcentral's name for it is "bacterial SSU rRNA". It matches the Rfam family "Bacterial small subunit ribosomal RNA", at positions 1 to 482 of the family's 1533-position model. Lineage: Bacteria; Bacillati; Bacillota; Bacilli; Caryophanales; Staphylococcaceae. The record is from RNAcentral.